Long non-coding RNA from Clupea harengus (Atlantic herring), 1228 nucleotides. The record is from Ensembl. Lineage: Eukaryota; Metazoa; Chordata; Actinopteri; Clupeiformes; Clupeidae.
GGUGUGUUUCCUGAGAAGUGUUCUUGAACAGCGACCACGGUUAAAUGAUGGAGAGACUAUCGUUUGAAAAACACUCUCUUUUAGUUACCAGUUACCAGGCUGGUUGCUCGACGACACUUUGGGGACACGCAGUCCAGGUCAGCAGGAAGGACCAAUGUUUAUCCUACAACCCAGCUUCAGCUUCUGCCGUCGUCAUGGUCAGUGUGCUCUCUGUGUUUAUGAUGCAGUUCCCAUAGCAACACGUCAAAGUAAUGAUGAUCAUAGAUGCUGUUAGCAGAUGUUGCGCAUUCUUAUACUGGACAAAACAAUCAUGUUUAAUGAUUACGUUUAACACCUCAUGGAGGAAACUGUCCCCACGACUGAUGCAUACACAUCAGAUGGAACAAUUGGAGAUCUUUUAGAGCCUAAUCAAUGAGCCGUGCGUCCCAGCCAAUACGAUCAAUGAGCCUGUGCGUGGCGGCCAAUACGAUCAAUGAGCCCGUGCGUGGCACCCAAUACGAUCAAUGAGCCCGUGUGUGGCAGCCAAUACGAUCAAUGAGCCUGUGCGUGGCAGCCAAUAUGAUCAGCACAGGUACUCAAGGCAUUGCCCCGCUGUAAGGGACUGAAAAAGCAUAUCGAGGGGCAGCGGCUAUCUUACUGUCCCAUCGGUUGACAGGCUUGCAAAGUUUGGAGGACAUUGAUUGAUUGAUCAGUCGAUCGAUCGAAAGAUAUUGAUGUAGCUGUAUUCAAACAUCACACAUUUGCAAUUGCUGUAUUUGUACAGGCUUUUGAGAGUUAAAUAUUGAACUGAAUUAGUAGCAGCACAAAAAAGGUACAAUCAGAACAUGUUGCAGAAAUUGAAUAAUGUGUGAAAUAUUUUGUCGUACUAAUUAUGGUAUUUAUUUCAAGAUGUAGAUUUUUUUUACAAACACAAUUUAUCUUUUGAACUUUUGUAUGUUUCUCAACUUCAACUGUGCAUACACAUUUCAUGAUUGACAUUCACACACUUCCUGAAGCAUUCUUUGGAUUGAGUAUGCUUGGGACGUCCAAGAGUACGCUUUAUAUAAAUAAUCCUUUUGAGUUUCACAGAAAAUAGGCCAAACCAGGACAGCUGGAAAAAGAACAUUAUUUUAUAACCUGAAAAUAUAAUAACAAAAAGGAAUAUAUGUGAUUUAAUUUAUCAGAAGUUUGAAUGUAUGUAUUUAUUAAUGCAAAACUGUAUUUAUACCUGUGCUGUGUGUGUAUGGGG